UACGGAGGAUCCGAGCGUUAUCCGGAUUUAUUGGGUUUAAAGGGUGCGUAGGCGGCCUUGUAAGUCAGGGGUGAAAGACGGCAGCUCAACUGUCGCAGUGCCUUUGAUACUGCAGGGCUUGAAUACACUUGAAGUAGGCGGAAUGUGACAAGUAGCGGUGAAAUGCAUAGAUAUGUCACAGAACACCGAUUGCGAAGGCAGCUUACUAAAGUGUGAUUGACGCUGAGGCACGAAAGCGUGGGGAU
This 245-nucleotide ribosomal RNA is filed under the name uncultured bacterium. RNAcentral's name for it is "partial 16S ribosomal RNA". It matches the Rfam family "Bacterial small subunit ribosomal RNA", at positions 524 to 768 of the family's 1533-position model. The record is from RNAcentral.